CCAAAUUCAGGGCAGGCUCCAAGUAGAAGAACCAUGUUUGGAUGCCUUAUGCAGCUUAGAACUUCAACCUGCAUCAGAGCAAAUGAAAAGGGGCAUGAGAGAAUAUAACCUUUUCGGGAACUACUCUAUGACUAAUUGGAUUUGCUUGGUAUGUUUUUUUUUCUUCUUUUUUUUUAAAGGGUGUGUGGGGUGUGGGGUGUAGUGUGGCAUAGUCAAUUUCGCAAUACACACAAUCUAGAGACUCUAUAGCUCCUAUUUCACAUAUUUUGAUUUGUUGAACACUGAUUAUGAUCCAAGAAGGACACAAGUUUUUAUAAAGAUGCUUAGUCCAUGACGCCAGAGCACUAAUAUUCUGUUUUCCUGCAAGAUAAACAACUGACAUAUGUUCUCUAAAUGUGUUCAAAUCUUCGUUACUUUCUUUAGACCAAAGGAAGGAUUCCUCUGUUACAUACCUCUUGCUGAAAUUGUGACCUUCCUUGAGCAGCAUCUGGACGGAGAACCUUAAUUGCAACCUGCGUGUGAUCCAAGUAACACUUGUAUACCGGCCCGUAUCCACCUUCUCCAAUUUUACGAAUUGCUGCAAAGUUAUCUGUUGCUGUUUCAAUCUCCUCUAUUGUAUACUUACGAUACCGGCAAUCACUCUGUGCAAGGGCAUCCAGUACCUUCUUCUUCUCUUCAGAUUCUUUGAGUGCCUUCCUUUCUGCACUGAUUCUUCUCUGUGCCUCUCGUUCGGCGAUCCUCUGUGCUUCUUCUGCUGCUUCAAGGGCUGCCCUGCACUUUGCUUUUUCUUUCUCUGCAACAGCCAGUGCUGCUUCCUCUGCUAGUCGUGCCUCUUCUAAUUUUUGUUCUUCUUCUACUUUCCAGCGGUGAAGCUCCAUUGCCUGCAUGAAAAAAAUUAGGCUACAUUCCAGUUCACAAGUGAAGGUACUUUCCAACAUAUUCUGAUACACUAAUGUACUAUAACUCUGAUUAAAACACAGAAAUUUUUACCACCUCAAAUUAAUACCUUAUGUUUUGCUGAAAGUGCCUCCUUGCAUGCUGAACUGUACAUGUCCAUAGUCUGCUUGAGUUCCUGCUUGAGUCUUCUCAUCUCUGCUUCUAUGUCUUCCUAUAUAUUAGAGAAAAAUAUUUAUCAUUUAUCUUCUGUAUGUGGUGCUAAUAGUAGUUGCUAAAGAAACCUUCUCUGUCACAGCUUUAGUGAAACAUAGGAAAGCUUGAGUGACAACACCUUCAUAACAACAGAAAGUGAUGAAAUUCAUAUCUUGGAAUCAUGAGGAGGAUAGGUUCCAUCAAAUGAUUAGAGUUUGUUGUACCAUGUUUAUCUUCCUAUACUUUUUCUGGAUUUAUUUGGUUAAACUUAGAUUGCUUCUGUGAUAUUGUAUCUAGUGUGUUUCAACAAUUUUUUGCAGAUAUUCCUGUAGUUGAUGUUGAAAUGCAUACCAUGUUGCUGGGUGAAGACCAUGAUCCAUUGCCACUAUCAAAAGAAUUUGAUGAGAAGCCAUUGGCUUCAGAUAACCUGGUUGCUGAGAAUGAUGAUCCAAAGCUUAGUCUGCUCUCCGUUUCUGAGCUGUUUGAAAGUCGUGGAGCAGAAUAUUUAGCAUCUGUGUCUGAGCUGUUUGAAAGCCGAGGGGGAAGACCCAAAUCGUGACUGCUAUCCAUAGAGAUUGGAAAUGUAGAGCUUGGACGACCAGAGCUCACAAAUGAUAAAUCAGAUUCUGCCACUGAGAGGUCUCCAUAUGAUCUGUUUAUCGCUUUACCUCUGGUGAAUGGGGACCUGUUGAAAGAGAUAAAUAUAAAUUGAGUCGUUUUAUCUUAAUCAACCAUUUAGAGUAGUACAUUUUGCACUUCCUCUUAUAUAUUGCAUAAAGUACUUUCUGCUUCCUGAUUCUCUGAAUUACUUACUUGAUGCUAUCUAAAUCGUCAGCUGAGCUUCGUGAUGCGUAUGGUGACCUAAUAUCAGUCACACUUCCUGGUGAAAUAGGACAGGUUAAACCAGUUCUAACAGUGUUCAAAUGCUUUAUGACAGAAAUUAACGCAAUAUGCUGCAGGUGGAAAAACAGACCUUUUGUGUCGCUGCUGAUUUGUGCAUAACGUGUAUCAGCGAAGCCAAGCUUAGCACCUAGAGAGGAGGUGGAAUGAUUCUGCUGCGAGGGAGUUGGUGAACUGGGAACUGGAGAAGAUGCAUUCUUUGUCGAUUGAAUUUUGCCUUUGGCAAUCACAAAAACUGUGCAAAAGUCAGGUACGAUUUUGGACACCGCGGUUGGGACAUCCGUCAUCUUGAAUCUUUCAAGUAAAAAUGUCGUAAGUAGUUAGAUAUGAAAUAGUACAGUGUUGGUGAAUACUUCAAUUUAUUGGAAACAAUAGAAAAUAGUACCUGCUAACAAAACCGUUCCUUGAUGCAGCGCCCACCACUAGAUUCUCUAUGACGUUGGCUGUAACAUAGUCACUUAUGGAGGUCGCUAUGUCUAUGCCUUCAAUUACAACUUCAUUGACUUGAAUCUACGACAAAGAGAUAUAAGAUGAUUCAGAAAAUGAAACGACAUCUGCAAGAACACGAGGAAGAUUGAACGUUUAAGCAGCAACGUGCACUUACAUUCUUACGGGUGCAGAAGCAUCGAAAAGGUAAGAACAAUUCCUUUGCUUGACUAUCAGGAUCACUUCUAUAUACUCUGGGAGUUCCAUCACUCACAUCUGAGAAAGAAACGUUGUUCAAAUAAUAGGUUUAAAGCCAGAGAUGGAUAUAGGCUUUGAAUAAUAGGUUCAACUGAACUUAAUAUUUUCUACAUGAACCAUAUAUAUAUAUAUAUAUAUAUAUAUAUAUAGAAAGAAAUCACUUUACUUUUAACAAAUAUUAAAUUCUAAAUUCAUAAUUUGAGAAGUACAUAGCUUUAAGAUUAAAAACAUCAUGUCUAUCUUUUGAAGCUAGAACAUAUACCUCUUAUCAACAAAUAAAAAUACUUUCAUGCCAUUAUUUAUGGUUUUAUAUGGUUUGGGAUAAACACCGUGUGCAAGUAAGUUUUCACCUUUUUCUAUAAAGGAAAAAAAAUGUACCUCCAUUUACCAAAAGAGAAAAUGAUAGGCUAAACAUCUCAGCCAAAUCAUUUACCAAAAGAGAGAAUUGACAAUGACACAAUAAAAGAUUAAACACAAAAAGAACAAAAACACAAAAUUAGCAAUGUACAUCAAUAAGAAUGACAUAAAAGAAUCAGAAAAAAACAUCAAUAUCUCCUAUCGAUUUUCGUCGAUUUUUUUUUAGAAAAAUUAAAAUUGAAAGAUUAUAUGAAGUUUAGAAAAAAAAGAACCUGCAUUAGGAAGGGAAACAGAAGGUCUAACUUUAACAUGAAGAAGAGUAACAUUUUUGCCUCUUCCAAUCAAAGUAUCAACAGCCCAUUUUAAUGCAUAUUGGCUUCCUUUAUCUUUAUCUAUUGCAACUACUGUUGCCUUAUUUUGAUCCCCAGUAAAACUCCUUUGGCUCAUUAUAAUAUAUGAUGAUAAUUUUCAACAAAUUUAUUCCACAAAACACCACAAUAAUAAUUGAAAAUAUUCAAUUUAAGAUCAAUUCUUAAAUUGUUUCUUUCGAUAUGUAUAGGGACCUCAAAUAAGGUCCCAAAUUCUUUAUGUUUUUUUUUCCCCUUUGUUUAGUUUCUUUCUUCUCAAUAUGUUUUUCAAAAAAAUUUGUUGUUGAAAUUGUUUUAUCACUAUAUAUAUCUAUAUAUGUCAAUUCAUUUUGGAGGCUCUAAGAGUUUUGCCCAUUUAUCAAGCUCGUCCAGGAAUUUGUUUUUUCAUUUACUUAAUAUUUAUUUUCUUUUAGGGUUCUAAGUUUUUAGGGUUGUUCUAAAACAUUAACUAUAUAUAUAUAUUUGACUAGAGAAGACGUGGAAUGGAAACAAAUGUUUUUUAUUCUUUUUUUUUGUUUACUUCUAAAGUUUUUUUUUAUUAUAUAUAUAUAUAUAUAUAUAGAUUCUUAUAACAAUAUUUGUAGAGUGAUCUUGUUAUUUUCCAAGUUAAACGGUUCAAUGAAGCAUAAAAUAAAAUAUAUGUUAUAAUUCAUAUAUAAUUAUUACAUGUUAUAGUAUACUACUAACAAUAUGAAAAUAUAAGUAUGUCCAUUUACAAAAUUCAUCUAACGUGAUUUUAAAUACUUUUGAUUUCAUUAUGAUUUUGGGAAUAGGUGUAAUAAGUUAUACUUGAUAUUCAUUAUAUAUGAAUUUAAUUGAGUGUAACUUAGAUCUUGAAAUUUGUGGCUUUUGAUUAUGAUGAGUACUCGUAUUUAAAAUUGUUGGAGAGAAGAGUUAUCACUACAUAGAAGUAAUAAUAAUAAUAAGUCGAUAUUUGAUUGAUCAGAACAUGUUAUUUUUUACCUAUAACAUAAAUCUAGGUCUCUAGGAUAAACUGAUAUCUUGGGCCGAAAAAUGAGCUCAUAUUAUUUGAGUCCAACUCUAUAAUAUUAGAAUUAGAGAAUAACUAAAGCUUUUAAGGAUUUUUUAAUAUAAUAUAAUGUUUUGAAAAAUAUGAUAAAGAAAUAACUUUAAUUAAUGAUAAGGUUAAAUUAGAAAUUAAAUGUAAAAUUAUUUGUAAAGUGGACAAGUAUUGUUAGACAUUUCAAAAUAAUACAGUGACAACUAUUGUUGGGCGAAGAGGUCAUUAUUUUUCAACUCAAUUUUCAUAUUUUGGUCUUUAAACCCUUGAACAUUAUUUUAAGGGUAAGGCUAAAUGGCCAAAAAUUUAGCUUGAAUUUGGCCAAAGAUUUUAAAAGUUAAUAAUAUCUUUUUUACUUCAAAAUAAAUUGAGUUUUUUUCCUUCUAUUUUUUAAUUUAAAAAUAUUAAAAUUAAAAGGAUAAAAAUAUCUAAAAAAAAUAAAAUAACAUUGGCAAAAUAUCAGUUUCGCCUAAAUUCAGGCCAAAAGGAUUUUACUUAUUUUAAUAUCAAACAUUGUAUAAAUAAAUAUAUAUCAUCUUAGCGCAAUAGUCUUCAAUACCAUUUUCAAUGUUAACAUGUGCCAUUACUUGAAAAGUGUGUAAUCUGAAGAAAAAAAAAAGAGUAAUAAAUUUACUAAUUUGAUAAAACCAAAGAGAGGUUAGGAGGUCAAUUCUAUUUAAUUUGUCCAUAUUUUAAUAUAUAUUUGAAAAAUUUACGUAAUCAUUUUUUUAUUUUAUCCCCAACAUAAUUAUUUAUUUCUCAAAUCUUUUCUCAACAUGUUCAUACAUGCUAUACAUCAAUUAUUAAAACAAAAUAUUCAUAUUUAUCACUAUUUUAAAAGGCAUGCAAACUCCAUAAUAAUUAAGUGAAAAUGAACGGAGAAAGUAUUUUCUAUAGAAACCUGAGUUGGAAUCCAUAGUUAAGUUUCCUUUUAUUUUAAGCUUAAUUAAGGAAAAUGAGUUGAGCUUUUGAAAGAUAUUAAGAAAAACAUACUUUAGGUCUAACUUAACCUAGAAUUUAGCUCAAGAGGUAAGGACGAUCCAUAUCAUAUAAUGAGUACAUGUCCUGGACACUGGAGCAUGAACGAUAUAAGAUGAAAAUCCAUAUCGAAUAAACAAUGAAUCAAGAAAGAACUUGAACCUCUAGUACUAACUGAGCUCUUGAUUUUAACUCUCAAAGUUUCAUAUUCCUAUCAAUCCAUCUCUUGAUGAGGUUGAUAGACACAAUAAUCUUCGUUCUUCUGUUGUUUUUCCUCAUUGUUACCUGAGAUACAAAGAAAUAGCCUCUCAUACGCUGCAACCAUUUUCGUUGCAGUAAACAUCUUCAACCCUCUCUCCCUAGCAAACCCGCCUUUUUUCUCCAAAUUUUUCUUUCCCCCUUCCCAAACUUCAUACAAAACUCUCUUCAAUUCACUUACUGUAGGUGAAAAUGUGUAUCCCAUAUCUUCGUUGACAAUAAUAGAACCAGUAAAACUUGCUAGUUUUGUCGCCAUCACAGGCUUACCUGUUAAAAAUGCUUCCAAUGGUACUUGAUCUAAACCUUGAGCUCGUAAAGUUGGGUGUACAAAUAUAUCUAUUGCAUUGUAAAACUCCGCCAAUUGAGCACGUUCUAGUGGUCCUAAAACCAUCACAUUUGGUCCUAGCUCUUUGUAUCGAUCACCCCAUGGACCAUUUCCAGCUAUUAGGACGAUCACAGUCUCCUUAAAUGUCGAGUUCUCUAAGAAGAGCUGUUGUAAUGCUUCAAACAUUAAUGGAUGUCCUUUAUCUUUAACCAAUCUACCUGAUAAUCCUAGGAUUAUCGAUGACCUUGAUCUAUCUUGGUUGAGACCUAAUUUCAGUAGAAAAUCAUUGCCUUUUGAAACAUCUGGUUUGAAUAUUUCCUCAUCUACUCCAUUUAAGAUGAUAUGAACGCGCUCUUCUGGGAUCAUAUAGAUCCUUUUAAGUACAUCUCCAACGUGAUCACUCGUGGCAACAUGGUGAGCAUAGUAUUGAAAGAACUUUACCUCUUCAACAACUUUCAUCAUUUUGCCAUCGCUGAUCACUUGUUGUGACGAUGAAUCUAGAGGAUUUCUUACGAGUUCUUGUAUGAUAUCAGAAUGUAUAGUCUCAUAAGCAAUUCCAUGCCAGCUAACCGCGACAUUAUUCAGGUAAGUACUUGAUUUUGUUAGUCUGAGACCUACACUUUCUGAAUGUAUAACAUCAAAGGCCUUUGUCGCGUUUUCUUCUAAAAAUUGCUUCCAAGCAACAACUUGAUUUAGAUAUCCUGAACCUAUAGGCCUUGAGAUGUGAAAAUGGAGAUUACUCAUGGUACUUGGAAUACUCGCGGAUGAAGAAGUUGUGAAGAUGUGAAGGUCAUGUCCGCGUUUAGCUAAGGCAAGAUAGAGUGUUAAGGCGUGUCGUUCCAUACCUCCAGCUUGAUUCUUU
Molecule: long non-coding RNA, 6842 nt
Filed under: Solanum lycopersicum (tomato)
Lineage: Eukaryota; Viridiplantae; Streptophyta; Magnoliopsida; Solanales; Solanaceae
Description: long non-coding RNA (SLYC_LNC000240)
Source: RNAcentral